This is a long non-coding RNA of Astatotilapia calliptera (eastern happy), 257 nucleotides long. NCBI's taxonomy places the organism in Eukaryota, Metazoa, Chordata, Actinopteri, Cichliformes, Cichlidae. The record is from Ensembl.
CACAGGGUCACUACUGCGCAUUGCACUAUAGUGCAGGCUGAUGGAUGGAAGUUUGAUUGGAGUAAAUACCAGCGCCUUUGGACAAGUGUCGGAUCAUCAGCACUAACAGGAAAUGUCUACAUCUCUCUGCUGUUUCCUGUCUGUGGGCCUCCUCGUGUUUGUCUCUGCAGGUGAGAUUCAAAAAUUUAGAACCAAACUAUUUCCCACUAAGGGAGAGAAAAGUAAAGGAAAUCACUGUGGGUUUUCUAUUGAUUCGU